This is a long non-coding RNA of Oenanthe melanoleuca, 2587 nucleotides long. RefSeq lists it as uncharacterized. The record is from RefSeq and is a predicted model, not a curated record. NCBI's taxonomy places the organism in Eukaryota, Metazoa, Chordata, Aves, Passeriformes, Muscicapidae. The transcript is spliced from 3 exons.
ACAGUGACAGGGUUCAGACCAGGCUGAGGAAUAGAGCGCAGCUCCAACGCCAGGAACCAGCUCUCCAGUGCAGGAUGUCUGAAAAUCAAGGGAUUUGGUACCUUGUCAUUUGAAGACACUUCUGUCAUCAGAGGCUCCUCAUCCAUGAAGAGAUCCCAUCAACCUGAUGCUCCUCCUGUUUCUGCUGCUGCUCCAGCUUUAUUUCAUUGUCCCAGCACAACAAGAUGCUCAGCAGGUCCACACAGAGCUCAACAAGUUGAGGACCCAAAGUUUUACCAAGCUAUGAAAAUAAAGACAUCUUGGAAGUGAAGAAAAGAGGAGGAUGGGAGCAGAAGGCACUGAAGCUCUUUCAUUGUACAUGGAGCCACAUUAAUUAUCAAUUCCUACUUGCCUUCUCCCCACCACACAAAUGAAGAGGCUCAUCCUGUUUUACUCAUCAUCAAUGACAGCAAAGGUGUGAUCCAUUUGUUCUAAUUUAGUCACCACCUGCCCAGGAUCUGAGGCAGGCACCCUCAGCUCUGUUUAUUAUCAGCAGAGAGAAACAGGUACCCCCAGAGAGCAAUUUGUCUUAUCCCAAGAUGGGGGUGUCUAGAACAGGUCACAAAAAUCACACUCUGGAGAUUUUUGGGGGCAUUAAGGCAGCCUGAGGUGACUGGCUCAAACUUGGGUGCAUAACUUCUGCACAUCCCACUCAGAAUGCCCACAAGAGCUGCUCAAGUGAUGCAAUAAUUCUCACUGCAGGCUGACACGAUCUGAAUGGGACCAGCAUCUCCCAGCACAGAUAAAGUCUGGCCUGGACAGUCACAGUUAGCAACCCUGCAUUUGAUGCCUGACAUGAACCAGGAGAUAAUGGUGGGAUUGCAGCUUUGAGAGCCACCAGGUGAGCUCCACCCAGCCAUCAUUAAUCAAACACACUCUGCUUCCACAUCCCAAACUUUGGGGCCUCCAGGCAUGAGGCAGCAAUGCUCAAAUGUGCAGCUGAGCAUCUCUUUUUUCUGGAGCAGCAAGUUCCUUAUUGCUAGUGACAGUAAAUUAGUUACUAUGGAUUCACAAACACCUGGUGAUCCCAGUCUAAUCAUUAACCUUCCUGCAAGGUGGGAAGGCUCCCUAUCAAAAGGAUUAAAUUUUAAAUUUGGAGCCUCACUUAAAAAAAAAACCAAAAAACAAGAUUCUUAAAGUUUUUCAUGAUUGCUCAGAAGAUUGACUGGAGGUAAUUUUGACAAAGCAAAAAAGAUGUUGGAAGGUUUCUUUUCCAACAUAAAUCCAAACACAAGACCCAGAUAUGUGGAUAAUCAUCACUGCAAUGCAAUUGUCUCUCAGGGGACACUGGUACAUCCUACAGGGCACACUGCAACAGCACAGAGCAGCUCAGGACAAGAAUUAAUUAAACACACCCAGCUGCUGACACCCCUUCCCAAGAAACUCUGGUUUCUGUACUACUGGCAGAGAGGCCUCAAGUGAAAAGAUAAAUUAACAAACUUCCAACAAACUCAAAAAGAAGAAAGAACAAAGGUGGUGCUUCUGUCUGUAAAAGCCUAUUAGUACCUCCAGAAAUCUGUCUGUAUCUGUCCCACCCCUGAGUUCUUCUCUCCUGCAAUCCUGCUGCCAUCCUAAUCACUUUUGAAGUUGCUUAUUUUACUGUUUUAUUAAAUCCCAAUUCUUCAUACUUCAGGUGUUGGAGGUACUGAACAUAAAUUAUGUUCUGCCCUAUUUCCAAGGUACAGAAUUCUUAUUGUUUCUAUGAAAUCAUUGCUUAAGUCUCUGCCAGACACUUGGGCUGUCUGAACACCUGAUGCCGUCUCUCCCUGCAGGGAUCUGCAGAGGUCCCUCAUCAGCUGCAGCCACCAGAGUUCCACACUGAUGCAGGAGGAGCAUCUUUGCCUUUGGAGUGGGAGCUCUGCUCGCUGGGCAGUGAGAAUUGCCCUUUCCCUGCAUUUUGUUGAGUCAGCUCAAAGCACAAAGUGCUUCUUAGUUUUCCCAUCUGUGCUGGACCUCACUCAACAAAUGAUGAGCCAGGGGUGUGUUGUGCUUCUAUCCUCUUUCACCUUUACCACCUGCUAAUUUUGGAACGUGCAGUUUAUAAUUACAGCGCUAUUCCAGGGCUCCUGGCUUGGGAAAGGAGAGUGUUUUAAAGGGAAGCUUAAUGGCUGCCUUUUGGUUGAAUACACCGUGAAGAGCUGAGCCUGACCUACAUUAAAAGCUCAGAGAACUCUUCAUUCUGCAGAUGAAUAGAGGGUCCUAACACUGAGGGGAAGGUACAUACCAAUUUCUAAAUCUGAGUCUGCAUCUAUUAUACUUUUGUCAUGAAGACGGGAAGCUUUUGAUAAAGGGGAGGAAAAUUAGAGAAUAAUUUCCUUUCCUGAGGCUGCACCUACAAUCAAAGGAGAAUAUCAACUAUUGCAAAACCCCGAGCAUGGGGAAUUUUACUCCAGAGGAAGUCAGUGAUCAGGGCUCUUCUCUCUUUUUCUAGGGUUAUUAAAUAUUAUCUCAGAGUAAACCAUCUGUCUGAUGAUUUUCCACUGACUGAUACUUUAUUUGUGAAUGCAAUACUAUUUGUGAAAUAAAACCGCCUUAUUAGGAUAUUUAA